RNAcentral lists this ribosomal RNA (466 nucleotides) under Georgenia soli. RNAcentral's name for it is "bacterial SSU rRNA". It matches the Rfam family "Bacterial small subunit ribosomal RNA", at positions 1 to 474 of the family's 1533-position model. The record is from RNAcentral. Lineage: Bacteria; Bacillati; Actinomycetota; Actinomycetes; Allobogoriellales; Allobogoriellaceae.
UGGAAAAAGUUGAUCCUGGCUCAGGACGAACGCUGGCGGCGUGCUUAACACAUGCAAGUCGAACGAUGAGGGCCCGGGCUUGCCCGGGUCUGAUUAGUGGCGAACGGGUGAGUAACACGUGAGUAACCUGCCCCUGACUUCGGGAUAACCGCGAGAAAUCGUGGCUAAUACCGGAUAUGACACCCCCUCGCAUGGUGGGGUGUGGAAAGACUGUGUCGGUUGGGGAUGGGCUCGCGGCCUAUCAGCUUGUUGGUGGGGUGAUGGCCUACCAAGGCGACGACGGGUAGCCGGCCUGAGAGGGUGACCGGCCACACUGGGACUGAGACACGGCCCAGACUCCUACGGGAGGCAGCAGUGGGGAAUAUUGCACAAUGGGCGCAAGCCUGAUGCAGCGACGCCGCGUGAGGGAUGACGGCCUUCGGGUUGUAAACCUCUUUCAGUAGGGAAGAAGCUCUUCGGGGUGACG